AUCAACUUUCGAUGGUAGGAUAGAGGCCUACCAUGGUGGUAACGGGUAACGGGGUGUUAGGGCACGACACCGGAGAGGGAGCCUGAGAAACGGCUACCACAUCCAAGGAUGGCAGCAGGCGCGCAAAUUACCCAAUCCCGACACGGGGAGGUAGUGACAAUAAAUAACAAUACGGGGUUCUUUCGGAUUUCGUAAUUGGAAUGAGUACAAUUUAAAUCUCUUAACGAGGAACAAUUGGAGGGCAAGUCUGGUGCCAGCAGCCGCGGUAAUUCCAGCUCCAAUAGCGUAUAUUAAAGUUGCUGCAGUUAAAAAGCUCGUAGUUGAAUUUCGGGACCAAUAUGUCGGUCGUGCCUCGGCACGUACUGGCAUCGUUGGUUUCUCCCUUCUGACGAACCAUGAUGUCAUUUAUUUGGUGUCGUGGGAAAUCAGGACUGUUACUUUGAAAAAAUUAGAGUGUUUAAAGCAGGCUCACGCUUGAAUACAUUAGCAUGGAAUAAUGAAAUAGGACGUUUGAUUCUAUUUUGUUGGUUUCUAGGAUUGACGUAAUGAUUAAUAGGGAUAGUUGGGGGCAUUAGUAUUCAAUUGUCAGAGGUGAAAUUCUUGGAUUUAUUGAAGACUAACUACUGCGAAAGCAUUUGCCAAGGAUGUUUUCAUUAAUCAAGAACGAAAGUUAGGGGAUCGAAGACNAUCAGAUACCGUCGUANUCUUAACCAUAAACUAUGCCGACUAGGGAUCGGAUGAUGUUAAUUUUUUAAUGACUCAUUCGGCGCCUUACGGGAAACCAAAGUGUUUGGGUUC
This 798-nucleotide ribosomal RNA is filed under the name uncultured Glomus. Its description in RNAcentral is "SSU rRNA". It matches the Rfam family "Eukaryotic small subunit ribosomal RNA", at positions 314 to 1114 of the family's 1831-position model. The record is from RNAcentral. Lineage: Eukaryota; Fungi; Glomeromycota; Glomeromycetes; Glomerales; Glomeraceae.